Long non-coding RNA from Apis cerana (Asiatic honeybee), 12268 nucleotides. RefSeq lists it as uncharacterized. The record is from RefSeq and is a predicted model, not a curated record. Lineage: Eukaryota; Metazoa; Arthropoda; Insecta; Hymenoptera; Apidae.
CGGGCCAAUUUCCCUCUGUUUCUUCCUUCCCCCUUCCUGUAUGGCCAGCCACCGGCUCUUUCGGCUUCUCGGUACCGAGGUUAGACCACUCGAGGACCACUUUGCGAACAACCACGAUCCUCGUUUCUCUUCUCUUUCCGUCAAACGUCGAUAGGCUCUCUCAUUCAUCCAGGUCGAUAAAUUUUCAAAGGAUUCUCGCGAGAAUGCGGCCAGCAACUCGGAUAAGCCUGGCAAGACUGAAGAGGUAGGAUUAUUUGCCGAUGAAAAUCGUGGCUCUCUUUAUUUUCGCUCGACGCCUCCUGGCAUCUUCAGGUUUGUUGCCACAUCAAGAAACCCUGGUGCGCGAUUAAUCGGCCACGGCCAAGUCUCCAGUCUUCCAGACGACUCUGGAUGCUCGUUGACCAAGGACGCGGGGAUUAGAAUAGUAUUGGGAACGCGAGUUCGAUCGUCACGUGCGCAUUGACAUUGACCGAUUUUUAACACCGUGUUUCUUUUUUUCUUUUCUUCUUCGUUUAAUUUUAAGACAGAAUCUGUUUGUUUACUCGUUUAAUUUUAGAACACACGAUCCUCUUUUUCGUUUGUUUGUUUGGGAUAGAAUUAUCGUUGACUUUGAUUAAUAAAAUGGCUUUGCGCGUAUCAAAAAUUUGAAAAUCGUUAUAUUCAUGUUGCAGAUUAUUGUGAAGUGAAUGCUUCGCCUCUGUUUUAUUUCAAGAUACACCGAUAAAGUCGAUUCGCGUCUGGUGCGAUCGAACGAUGCCCGACUAUUUUUGAAUCAGUACUACUCGAUCUCUAUUCAAAACAUUACUUUUUAAACCUUCUUCGAAGUGUAAACUCUGGCCAAAGUAUCUUUGGAAUUGUUGGAAUUUUUGCUUCCACUGAAUUAUCAGUCUCUCGGAAAUCGAUAUUGCUUAGGACGUAAUACCUUUGCAAAAAUGUUUUUUACAAAAAUAUAUUACCUUGUAUAUAUACAUUCUUUCCUCUUAAGAAAAUAUAAGUACAAAUUGUUUCUAUGAUCCUCGAGAAAUAUAACAUCCAUUUCCACCGAUUUUCAGAAUCGACUUUCGAAAUGGAAUCACAAUCAUCGUUCGUCGAUCGUUUCGAGUAUUUUCUUUUUUUUUUCGAUUUCUCAAACGAUUCUUCCAAAGGCACGAUCGAUCGACAAUGGACAUCGAUCGAAUCCUCUCCUCGAUCAAACUCAUCAACCACUAUCGACCAACAUUCGCCCCUGUUUUUCCGCGAUCACGAGCAAUUUUUCCAUCUUAAACAAACCCAUUCUGCGCUCACCUGUCCCCCACACUUUUACUCUCAACUUCGAUCGACCACAUCGCGGAAACCAUCACUUCCGACAUCAUUGAAUCGUUUCUUCCGCCUCGAUCGUUUCGUCGAGGCUCGCGUUUCUUCGAAGCGCACGAAUCCACGGGAAACAACACUUUCCAACUUCGUAUUCGAGGUGAAAUAAAAGUCUCCAAAACUGUCGGCACGCCUCGCGAUAAAUCAACGCGAAAAGCCGAGGGGGCCAUUCAUCAAAAUCCCACCACGCUUUUCUCUGUUAUCUCUGUUUUCCAGUCCGCAUGAUAAUACCACGCGGGAAGAAAUUUCAGAGAGAGAGAGAGAGAGAGAGAGAAAGAGAAAGAAAGAAAUACUUCUGAUUUGAAAAUCCUCGUGAUUCACUCACACUUUUUCCACUUCUCUUUCUUGCGCGCCAAGAUCGAACUCGCCGAUCGAAGAAGAGAUAAAAAAACAACGGAGAAACUUUUAAAACGCUGUGUCGUUUUUUCCCUCUUUUUUUUACCGACAAGAGAAAAACAUCUAAACGUAAACACUGGAAGAAGAGAUAAGAAGAGACGCAAAUUAAAUCGCGUUUGCGCGGUUAAAGAAGGAAAAAAAAUCUUCUCUCGAACGAAUCGAAUGAACGCGUUUCGACUCGCGAUUCGUCGAUUGGAUCGUGAAGAAAAAAAAAAGUAGAAGAGCUACGUAAACGUAAGCGAAUAAAAGAAGCGCGCCGUUUGGCUUCGUGCCCGACACUGAAGAAACGCACACGCACCGAGGUGACCCGCUCCUGUCGAGCAUUCGUCGCCGUGUGCCGACAAGCGUGUGCUGUCAGUCCGUUCUCUAACAUUGACAGCCUAAACUGCGAAUCCUAUGAGCCGUUGGCGUCCAUGCUACCCCCGGAAGCCGGCUUUGCCCCCCCUCUCCCCGUCAUCGUGCCUAGCUGUUAGGAACGCCGGGUUGAAAAUGAUCGUUUAAAGGUGGAGAGGUUUUAAUGGAAAUUUAGAAUGUUUCGCUUAAGUGGUUUAACGUUACCAGGGUGUUGGUUGAUACGAAUGCUAGCCUCCUUUGGGAGAAAGAAGCUUUCAUAAUUUGAUGAGUAAUGCAAUAUGGAACGAUCGCGAUGACGAUGGAUGUUGCACGAAGGUAGAUUUGAUAGAUGGUGCAUGUAUUUAUUGAUAUCUUGUCCGUAGAUCGUUAAGAGAUCGUUAAAUUUUUUAUCCAAUAAAAUUUUCAAUCGUUAAAAUCCGAUAGGAACGACGAUAAAUGGUAUCGAGAGAAAUACAGUAAUAACAAUGAGGAUGAAUAAGAAAGAAAACGCGCAGCACUUUAAAAUUAAUAAAUUCAAACUUGGAAUUCUACCACCAGUUCAUAGCCACCCUUUGAAUCGUACUCGACCAAGGCUCAGGGAUCUCCAACUUUCACGGGCCAAUAUACACCCCCUUCCUUCGACUAUUCCUUAAAAAAUAUCCCUCCUACAAAUAUCCCCGAAUAAAUUAAACACAAAGGUGAACGAAAUAAACUCUCCGCUCCAUCAUCCCCCGUUUUAAUUGGCUGAUUAGGGUAACUUGGAAUCAAUCUCCAAGUUCUCUGCGAAACAACGAGCCGGUUUGAGAUCCCUGAUCCAUACUUCCAUCCAUCCCUGCAACAGCACGUGCACGUUUUUCGUCCUCGCGAGGGCUGUUCCACCCCUCGCUCUCCCUUCUCUGAAAUCCUCCCCUUUAAUCUCCGGCUUGCUUUCUUCCAUGGAAGAUCGGUUUGUGAUUUCGACAGCUGCUCCUUUCUAAUCGGGACCGCGACAAUUCCUUUCGUUACGAUUCCUUGAACUGGGUGGGGGAUGGGGGCGGUCCAUCGAAUCGAAGAAGAAUUCUCUUUGUUUUCUUUUUCGAGGGGGUUGCAUUUAGGCGCUUCUUCUUCCCGCAGGCGAAAUUUUUGGGGGAUGUAAAUUGAAUUUUCUGGAUUUAAUUAUAAAAUUUAUGAGAAUCAUCGAGAUGAUGAUAACGUAGGGGGAUGUACGUGCGAUGUUGAUAAUGUGUUUAUAUAUGUUUUUACUAGUAUUUGUUUGCGAUACAAUGCAUGCAAUAAUUACAUUAGUUGUAAAAUUUUUAUUUUUUAAUAUCCAUAUGAAAAUAUUUAAUUUUUAAUCGAUUCAUUGUAUUGUUAGAAUAAUAUGUAAAUAUAUUUCGAAAGUUAUGUGGUUGAUAACGAGUUACGUUCUAAGAUUACAGAGGAGAAAAUAAUUUUUUUCACGAGCUAGAAGUAAUUUGAAAAUUAUGUUGCAAAUGUUUCUUUCCUACUUCUGCCGUACAUGUGUUCAAAAUGGUCACCAUUUGAACAGAGUGUAUCCAAGGCUGGUAACAAUGUGCCAAGCUUAUCCCAAAAUCACAAUUUCCACGUUUUCCCUGUUCCCGAUUCCCACAUUUAAUCCCUCGUUUCUAUUCUUGAACCAUCGAACAGAUCGAUCUGUGAUCCAGCUGUCGCCAUUGUCCUUUAACGCCGCUUGUCCAUCAAAUCUCAGACUGGUAUUUGUCGUAAAAUUCUCCGUAUGUUUCAACUGUGGUAAUUGGUCAACAAUUAUGCAACGUUUCGAUAUGUAUUUCGUGAACAAAAUUUUAACAAUUUUUUCUCCUCUAUGCUUCUUUGUUUUUCUCGUGAUUUAUUUAGGUGAUUUAUUUUAAGGUAACAAGUCGAGGAAAGUUUUGUUCUUUAUUUCAGCGAUAGGGAGUUAUCGAUAGCUAUUUUAAGUAAAACUUUGAAUUCCAAAAGUCAACUAUAAAUAGAGAGAACGAGCUGGGGUGAAAGUAUAAAAAUAUUUUCCAGGAAAACAAACUGUCUGAUAAAGUGUAACAGGUUUUCAGAUAUCACAGAUCGUAAAUCUUUUUAAAACUAUCGAUGACUUAUUCAUACUUAUUCACCUCAAAAUUAUUUCACUGCACCAUUCUUGAUCAUUCCAUUUUUAUCACCUUAAAUUUUUCAACAUUGUUUUAAACAAAAAAUUAAACCUAUAAUAAAAAAAGUAAAAGAUAUUCUCUCUUCAAAUCGAAACGAAACAACCCUCUUCAACGUCCAUUUCGUCUGGGAGACAUCCGUUAUCUGGACAUCCAGACACCGAGCCACCUCGAUUGUCUUACCUCAUCCAGUAAACGUGCAAGGCCUUCUUUCUCCCAUUGUCGAAGAAGUGGCUUCCAGAAGUGUCGAGGAGCCCCUUCUGCACGCGAUUGGCCCUUUGUCCGUGGCACGUGUGCGUUCUCCUCUGUACUCGUGCAUCUGCGCCGUCCCAGGAAGUUUCUUUUCCACCGAUUGAUGUACACCGGUUGUCAUCGAUCCUCCCCUUUCAUCGUUCGUAAAUCAAGCAAGGAGGAGAUUCUAUACGCGUACGUGAACCAGGAAGCGCAAUACAGCAUCUGCCGCCACGUGAAGACGAUCGUUAGACGGAUGAGGAACGCAAUGGAGGCAGCAGCCUCGUAACGUGUGAUUUAUUAUAUUGAAAGUUGUAAGGUGAGGAAUGUUUUCGCUUGUUUUCUCAACUUGUUCAAAUGAUCGUGUAAAAGGGGAUAAUGUGGUCGGACUUUGAAUUUUCGUGAGUUAAUUUUGGAGCGGAUCGAGCGUUUAAAAAUUGUUAACAUUGUGCAAGUUUUGGUUAAUUUUUUUUUUUUAUAUGAAUGUAUGAUUUUGGGAAAAAUGAGAAUUUUUUAUCCUAGAACAUAUUUUUAAAUUUUUUUCUCUUUUAUUUUGUAAAUAUUUUUAUUUAUUUAUUUUCUUCUCUAUGUUAACAUCCUUCUCGAUUCUUAAUUUUCGUUCACAAUGAUCAUUGAGUGAUAUAUUAACGCGGUGAAUUAGACACACGGUCUCCUAGGCAAUUCCCUAGCGAAACGAAAAAAAUCGUAUCCGGUCUGACGUGCAGUCACGUGCAACCCUGCGGUCUUUUCCACCCCGAGCCACCCUUUAGAAUGGGGCAGCCCUUAGGGCACGCGCUGUUAAAAUUAUAGCGACAUGUGCGACUAGUCACGGCUCGUUUGAUACGCAAAUUCUAAGGAAAGUUUAGUAAAAUUGGAUCUUUAAUUCACAUAUUUCGUACUCUCAUAUUUUAACGCGAUAAUCGAACCGAAACAUCCUGUAAGCAUCGUCCUAAUGAAGGGUGGUCAAGCUAGAAAAAUAGCCAUUUCAUCGUGAUUAAUGAAUUUUAUCGAAUCUUCUGUUAUUAAUUCCGUUAUUAAUCGAAAAUUAAUAGUAAAAAAUUAUCAAUAAUAUUUCAUCAAUAAUAAUUGUAAUUAUUUUAAUAGAUUUGAUAAAAAUUUAGCAAAAUACUAUUUUCAUUUCUUUUUUAAAUGGAUUCUGCGGAAUUAACUUUUGAUCACUAAAUUUGUAGUCUUUUUACAAUUUUUAUAAGAAGAUUAAAUAUAAAAUAUUCUAUUAGAAAAUGUAAAACUUUAGAUUGGUCGAUGAAAGAAAAUAAAAAUUACCAUAGAUAAUUACCACAUAAAAAGGUACAAGAAGGAUUUGCAUGCAUGAUUAACUUAUUCAAAUUCGCCAUGAUUUAAUCCGAUUCGAGGAUCCCGAUUUUCAAACCGAUUUUCUUAUGUCCUCCAGAUUUCUCUAAUUUUACAAAAAUCUAUUAAGAAAGACAACGUGUGAAUAAAAAUAGAAAAUGAUUAAAUAUUGAUUUCACGAAAAAUUUACAUUAUUGAUAUCGUUUCUCGUAUUAGUACCAAAAAUCCUAUUCUUCAACAACGAUCGAUCUCGUUAAAUAUAUUCUCUAUACACUUAUUAAUUCUACAAAAUUCUACUUUUAAUAAUAUUAAAACAGAAAACAAUGAACAAACUUGCUAAAUAUAUCCUCGUUAAAUAAUAUAACGCGAUAUUCAACGCUUCCUCCAUACACCAUUCACGAUUAAUGAGGUUUCGUCUACUUCGAAACUGUACAAUCAUCCUCUACCACCCUCUAUUCCUUCUCUCUUCGCUCUAUCGAUUCUUUAUUCAACUGCAUAUAUAAUUCACUAGUUGCAAGUAAAUGGUAUAUUUUCGUAGAGCAUUUCGUGUCACAAUGUGAUCGAAUGAUUUAAACGUGUAGUUUCACAAAGACAGAAAGAUUAGACAGCAACCCCUUUGGAGAUUCUUAAUGAGAUUACAUAUCACAUGUAUCCUAUGAAACUGUAAAUAUCGUAUUGCAUAAAACAUGUUCGUGACGUUUUUUUAAUGAUGCACAUUACGAUUAUAUAAAUCGAAAAGAGAAAUCCCAUAUGGAUGAUAUUUAAUAUUAUUGUUGUUUGCAUUUUGCUGCUAAAAAUUAAAUUAAGAUUGAAAACUUGAUAAUUUUAAGUUUAAAUAACAGCGAUAUUUAAAAAGCGAUUCCAUAUUCUUUCUCAAAAAAACUUCCCUGCAACAAACAAAUUAUAAUGAAUAUUAGAUAAUUAUUAAUAAAAAACUAAUGCUUUAAAUUAUAUAAUAAUUAUUGCGUAAUUUAAACUUACAUCAUUAAUAUAUUAUAAUUUAUUUUUGAUUUUAACAAAUUUUUAUUUAUAAUUUAUUUUAGAAUCGAUACGCGAUCUUAAAUAACGCCACGUUUAUAAUUAAAUGUUAAAACAAAUAUAGACAAUGAGAAGAAAUAGUGGGAGAAGGAUAAAAAUAAAUUAAAAAUUGUAACAUAACGCCAUCUCUAGAGUGUCUCAAAUGAAACAAAUUGAGAGAACAGUAAAUAGUGGGAGAAAGAUAGAUAGUCAGAAUUGAUCAUCAACACCAUCUAUUACGUGCCAAAAACAUCUAUUUUACUCAUAAGAUAAAUUUUGUAACGAAUGACGUGCACGUUCACGUCAUCCGCCAUACGAUAGGACAUUUUUAAAUGCUCGAGAGAUGGGGCUAACAGUCAAUUCUUAUUCUAUUUCUAUCUUUCUCGCACUAUUUGUUCUCCUUUUUAUCUGUUUUAUUUGCGGCACUCUGAAGAUGGCGCUGAUUUCAAUAUUUUUACCUUGUAUCUAUCCUUCUUUCGCUAUUUCUUCUCCUUAAUUAUACUUGCUUUGCAAAAUUAUGCAUUCAAGAGACAGCUUGUACAUCUGAUUAAGUUUAUUGUCUUCUUUUCCUAACUUAUUGAUUAAAAAUCUUAAUAAGCUCUAUUCAAUAUAACAAUUAGAUACUACUUUCAUGCAUUGUAUCGAUGAUCUAAUUAUUAAUUAAUUUACAGGAAGAAAGAAAAUUGGAUAAUAUAAGAUAGAAAAAAUAUAAAUCGAUAAUUUAUAAAAUUAUAAUAUAAAGAAAAUGAAAAAUGGAGAACUCAUAAAUAUUCAUACCUCUCGUAGUGAAUGUUUUUAUUCAAUUACAAUAAUAAUCGCCAUCGUCACGGUAAUAAUGUUAUCAAGAAUAAUAAUAAUAAUAAUAACGAUAAUAAUAAUAAUAACGAUAAAAUAAUAAUAAUAAUAUUUACGAUCGCAAUUAUAUUAUAUGCAAUGAUUAUAACAUGGCGCAAAAAGAAGAAUCGACAGGCUGGCGAUGAUUAUCAAUCAUGCACGCGACAUCCAAUGACGAUAAUAAUGAUUAUAACAAUAAUGAACAAUAACAAUCGAACAAAGCGUCGGUUCAAUAUAACAAUAAUCAAACAAUACGUUCGCGCGCGUUGCACUCGGAGAAACGAUGAAUUUUCUUUGUUUCUUUACAUUUAUUCUACACGUGUCCGUGAUUGUAUCGUGUGUGUAGUAUAUACUCACGUAUAAUUAUUAUACAUUAUACAGGGUGUAAAAAAUCGAACAACAAUCCUUUAUUUCUAUCCUAUAAAAGUCAAACAAAAUUCUGAUUGUAUACGCUUUUAGAAAAGAUUCGAGGAAUAAUCUAAUCUCUAUCCACGAAUGAAAUAAAUAAGAAAAUCUAAAGAAGAAUUUUAUUUAGAUUUCUAUUUCGUCUGUUUCAUUUUCCUCGAGUGAAAGUUUAAGAAAAAAAAAAAAAAAAAAGAAAAAUUUAUUCGGACGAUUUAAAAUUAAUGUUUCAAGCAGAUUUAUAUAGCAGAAUCUUUCUUCAUUCUAGAAUAAAUGAAAGAAAGCGAACCUAGAAAUCUAAUUUUUCCUGAAACAACAGUUGCACAACGAGCAAUCCGAUAAGAUCGUUCGAACAUAUUUCUUUUACACCCUGUAUACUUCUAAUGUAUCAAUGUAUACAUGUUACUGGUGUAACAAUUUCAUCCAUACGAUCUCCUCUCUAUCUCCGUUCCACGACGAUGAGCGUAUUAAUCGAUGGUUCGUUAAUUAACGCGACGUGCUACAUCGUUUUCAUCCAUUGGAACGUCGUUUCUGUCUUCAUGUUUUUUUUGUGUGUCACAUUUCUUUGUGUAUGCUUUGUACGUGUGCGCGCGUGUCUGUAUGUAUGCGUGUGAAUUGUUCUCUCUCUCUCUCUCUCAAUCUCUCAAUCUCUCAAUCUCUCUCUCUCUCUCUCUCUCUCUCUCUUUACGUGUCGUAUACGUGUCGGCUAAAAGGUGUACGAAAUCGGCUGCAAAAAGGAUGAUCUAUGAAACGCGGUAUGAACGAGCGGUUUGCUUAUGUACAGAGUGUUCCUUUGAAACGUUACGAGUACAGUUACAUCUGAUUUACAAUUCGAUCAGCGAUUUUAUCCGCCAAGUCCGCACAGUCGGAUUCGUUUCUUCGCGACACGCCUCGAUAAUUUUCGCCUCGCGAAUCCUGCGCGCGCUGAAUCAAUCCUUGCCACGUCUUCUCAUUCCAUUCCAUUUUCUCGCACGUUUCACGACGAUUUGUUGCGAGGGUGUGUACGAAGCUUAAGCUAAAGAUCCACUCGAUUGUCGUUCGAGUCUUCUUCUUUUCGCGGUGGCACCGUGAAUGGGCGAGCCUCUGCGUCUCGAAAUUUUUUUCAUCACCAAAACAACAACGAUCAAUUUCAUUCCGACGACAAUGAGAUAUUUCCCGCGUUCGACGUUUAAGAAAGUUUAGAGAAAGUCUUUCCAAUCUUUAAUACUCUUCCAUAAUUACAACUUUAUUCAGAAUUUAUCCUUCGUAUCUGUUCUGUUCCUCGAUUUCCUCCUCGGUUUCCAAUUCAUUUUCGCUUCCACGAAAUCGAAUAUAUGAAUCAAUCAUUUAAUUCAAUCGUUUGUACUUCGACGUAAAAUUAAUUUCUUAUUCUAAGUCGAUCACUCACAGAAAACUAUUAUUAUUUCUCAAGCUUCUUGCAACUGUUCUUCCUCUAAACAAUAUCCAAGAUCCACGAUCCUCGUCCUCCUCUAAGAGAUCAAUUCCCCCAUUUUUGUCUCGUCGGAAUCGGCCGCAAGAAGGAGGAAAUCCUUCGUUUCGAACGCAGUCACGUGCUUCCUCCCCUGUUCGAAAUCCGUGUCUCACCUUUCAUCACGUGAUCGGAUCCCCAUGAUCGGUGCAGAGGAUCGAUUUCAAUGCUCGCCCGCACUCACGGUUCCAAUGGCCGAUCGAGAAAAAGCAAGUUUGCGGAUGGUGAACGUGCGAAAGCUGAACAGGUUUAACGUGGUUAUUACGAGUCCGUGUAUUUCUCGUUUCGUUUCUCUCUCUCUCUCUCUCUCUUUCUCUCGCUCGCUCUCUCUCUCUCUCUCGCUCGCUCUCGCUCUCUUUCUUUUGUUUCUGUUUGUUCGUUGAAAAAAUAAAUCGCUCUUUUCUAGAUUACGACGCUCUUUCUUCUCUGUGCAGCGCGACACGCGCAAUUUUUUGUGACAGGCCCUCAUCGGAGCCCAACGCUAUUAUUUUAAAUAAUGCAGGGUUCUCGUGGACGCGACCCAGUUUGUGUCUCGUCUAAAGUGUUCUCCUCUAAUCGAUACAUCUACGAUCUAUCGCGAUUGGUUUUGCUCGAUUUCUUUCUUGCUUCCCCUUCGAGCUCUAAUUGAUUCGAAUCGAUUGCCGACUAAUUGUUCCGUGGCUUGUUCGCCCGUUGGGGACGUUGAGUCUGAAUCUUUGGAAUUAAUUUUCUUUCUAUUUCUCUAGCGAUGGUUUAUCACUAAAUUAUAUACAAUUAUACAUGUAAUGUAAUUUUAUUCACAGAAACUAGUUCGUUAAAUCUUCUUUUUUGUAAAACAAAAAAAAAAAAGAAAGGAAGAAUAAUUGAGGGAUCGUUUGUAUCGAGUCCGAACAGUGUAAUUCUCAAGUAAUAAUUAUUAUUAAUCUUCUAGCAAAUGAUCAAAUAUUGAUAUCAGCCUCGCUGUAAUAAUUUCGUUUUUCUUCUUAAAAGAGAUAAAAAGAUCAAUUCCAAAUAUUCGAGCAACGUUACCUCUUUGUCAAACUGAACUUGUCAAACUUGGACAGAAAGAAAACAUCAAAGUGGCGAGAAGAGCACGGACUAUGGAGCGGAGACAUCAACGCUGGAUUAAGCGCGAACGUUCGAUCUGCUUUACCGGAAAUCGGUAACGAAACCGAUUUUCCCUGAGAAUAAAAUCGUCGUCGUUAAUAUUGUGAUCGAUCGUCGUCACUCGAUUUUAAUUCCAUUUUCAUUAAAUCAUGAUCUCCAAUUCGUUCUCCAUCAAAAUUAUUAUCGUCGAAUCGAAUAAAAAAAAAAAUAAUCGAUACUCGAUGGGUAGACAGAUCGAUAGAUCGUGGAAUCGAAGGGGAAUCACGAUGGUCUUCGUUGGUACGCUGCGUAUUCUGCCUUUCUCUUUCGCUGCUCUUUUUCGAGAAUUGGAAAGCGAUCAACCGAGAGCGACAGUUUCUGUUUUCCUUGAGACACGUUUACGUUCGAAACUUCCGUCUGCCAGACGAAUAAAGGGAACUUGGGAGUGGAAAAAUAGCUAGCGACUUUUGCUGUUUUCUCUUCUUGCCUCGAUGGGAUCGGAGGGAGGGAUCAGCGACCAUGAGCAAGAUAAAAUACAUCGUGCAAGAUAAGACGUAGCCGUUAAAUGUACGUGGUAAUUGCAACAGUUUGGCAGUCUUUAAACGAUAAACAUUUCCAUUUCCAUUCUUGUUUUUGAAUACAUUGCAAAUCCGAUAAAAAAAAACUUACCGAUAACGUUCUGAAUCGAAAGUAUCAAUUUAUCGGGGUGAAAUAAAAAAAAGAAAGAAAGAUAAUAUUCUUUCAAAAUUUCUUAAACUUAGACGAAUUUUAAUAAGGAAGCUUGGAGAAUUCUUUUCAAGCCGGAAUGCCGCUUAUUUUUAUCGGCGAGAAGGAAAACAAACCUCGAUAAAUCCUUUCCUUUGAGGAUCGAUACAUGGCGUAUAAUUUUCUUAAUAACGAUUUAGAAAAAAAAAAAACGAUUUUAGAAAAUUCGAGCGUGGAUCAUCGCUCGAAAAUUUAUCCAUCUCCGGAACCGAGACCGAUAGAACCAGUUUUCCCCCACUUUCCUGUUUUACAUAACUCCUCGACCAGAAAUAUAGAAUAUAACCAACGUCGAAUCGGAUCGUUAAGCAAAAUCGAGAGAUCGGAAAAAAAAUCGCUCGCCGCUGGUUCCUCGUUUCGUUUCCACAGGGAGUUGAUCAAGUUGUGAGAAGUUGAAGCGGGAUUUUCCUCGAUCGGUUGAUCGGUUCGCUUUCUUUUUCUUUAUUCAUGUUUCUUCUUCUCGUUUCUUCAAAGCGGUAAGGCAUUGUCGGAUAUGUCAGCUGAGAUCUUCGAAUCGCUCCUGUGAUUGCGUUGCAUCGAAGGCUUUUUACAAAAAUAUCAUCCCCUUUUCUUCUUUUCGCGCCCCACUUUCCAUGAUCUUCCUACUCUUUCAUCUUUAUCUUAUUCUUUUUAAUAUAAUUGUGACAGAGUCGGCCUGACUGUUUCGCUGAUUUUUUUUUAUUUUUAUUUUUUUCUAUUUCUUCUUUGUUUCUCUUUUUUUCCCCAGGGACGUCGGAUGCUGCGUUAGAAAAAUUCGCUUCGAAAACAGGAAGAAACAUUAAUACACGAGGUAUCUUUUUAGUUUUGCAUGUACGGUUAAUCGAAAAGCAGCCAGCCGUGUUUACUGUCCGUCGUUUCUUCGUUUUUUUUUUCUUUUUCUUUUAUUUAUUCUUCCUCAUUUGUCGUUCUUACAGUCGUCUCGAGACAGCGGUUAUAAUUGCACUUUUGUGCUAGAAAAUAA